RNAcentral lists this ribosomal RNA (497 nucleotides) under uncultured bacterium. Its description in RNAcentral is "partial 16S ribosomal RNA". It matches the Rfam family "Bacterial small subunit ribosomal RNA", at positions 28 to 507 of the family's 1533-position model. The record is from RNAcentral.
GAUGAACGCUGGCGGCGUGCCUAAUACAUGCAAGUCGAGCGAACAGACGAGGAGCUUGCUCCUCUGACGUUAGCGGCGGACGGGUGAGUAACACGUGGAUAACCUACCUAUAAGACUGGGAUAACUUCGGGAAACCGGAGCUAAUACCGGAUAAUAUAUUGAACCGCAUUGUUCAAUAGUGAAAGACGGUUUUGCUGUCACUUAUAGAUGGUUCCGCGCCGCAUUAGCUGGUUGGUAAGGUAACGGCUUACCACGGCAACGAUGCGUAGCCGACCUGAGAGGGUGGUCGGCCACACUGGAACUGAGACGCGGUCCAGACUCCUACGGGAGGCAGCAGUAGGGAAUCUUCCGCAAUGGGCGAGAGCCUGACGGAGCAACGCCGCGUGAGUGAUGAAGGUCUUCGGAUCGUAAAACUCUGUUAUUAGGGAAGAACAGAUGUGUAAGUAACUAUGCACGUCUUGACGGUACCUAAUCAGAAAGCCACGGCUAACUACGUG